ACCGUAAGCAGCAAACCUGGGUACAAUAUGCAUGUCUUAACGCUUGAUUAUGGUGCAGUAUAACAAAGAAAAACACUGCACUUAAUCGUUAUCGUAAGUGGAGUGUACACAAACACGGACUGAUGGAUAUUAAUUAUGAAGAGGAUGAAGAGAGAAGAAAGCGCCUACACAAAGACACGCCAGCUCAUGGCCACCACAUUUAGAAAUGAAUCCUCCUAAUUGAAUCAGAUUUCAAUAGUCCACUGCAAACCCCAGCUAGAAGAUGACCGAGCACAUGUUAUGCAUACGCCUGUGAUGAAUUUACCAUAGAGAAGCACUGUAUUGGAAGUCGAACUUUGCAGAUACUUUACUUUGGCCAGGAUACCAUUACUUUUCACAACGAAACUCGUCAUCAUACAUCUCGACAUCAAGUUCUUCACCUGUUUGUUUUUUGAAAUAUAAAUUAAGUUAUCUCUC
Ostrea edulis (European flat oyster) is the source of this 456-nucleotide long non-coding RNA. RefSeq lists it as uncharacterized. The transcript has 4 exons. The record is from RefSeq and is a predicted model, not a curated record. NCBI's taxonomy places the organism in Eukaryota, Metazoa, Mollusca, Bivalvia, Ostreida, Ostreidae.